This is an RNA transcript of Sorghum bicolor (sorghum), 2364 nucleotides long. RefSeq lists it as uncharacterized. The record is from RefSeq and is a predicted model, not a curated record. The transcript has 3 exons. Lineage: Eukaryota; Viridiplantae; Streptophyta; Magnoliopsida; Poales; Poaceae.
GAGUACAAAAAUUAGACCUCCGCCGCCACAUCUCCCUCCGUAUUGCGGAAUUUCCUCCUGCUGGGGUCGCCGCUCUCCGCAAUGGAUGCUGCUCCUGCAUCCAUGGCCGAGGUGGCUGCUGUGGCGCCCAUGCCGGUGCUGGAGAAGCUCGUCGAUGCCCUUGCCACUGCGCCAGCCAAGAAGAAGCUGCCAUCUUCCUCCAAUGACAAGAAGAGGAAGGAGAAGGGCCCGCCAAACACUGCUCGGGCCGCCGAAGCUCCUGUCGCCAAGAGGAAGGGGAAGGGACUGCCGCACCCUGUUCCGACUUCCGAGGUCCCCAUCGCCAAGAAGCCGAACACCGGCGAUGCGCCAACAUCCACAGCUGAGUUCCCCAGAUCUAGCGUAGCCAUCGCCGCCGGUACUCACAAAGCAAUGCAAACCCUUGCCUCCGCGUGGUUGCCGGCCCCGAGGUCCAUGCUGCCCCUGCUCCAGGACGAGGACGCCAACGGCCAAACGCCACAACAGCAUGUCAAAUGUGCCGAAGGCGACCUCCCUUUAAUAGCCUCUUCCGAAAUAAAGCACAAAAGGCCAAUGGUAAAUCAUCAUAAGUCUUCGGCAACCAAGUGCCUCAAGCCUCCGAUGGCAAGGAAGGUGAACUCUCCUAUGGUGACGAGGUCCCCAAUGAUGAGACUACCCGUGUCUCCAUUGGUUGUGCGGCCAAGGUCACCAUCGCUUGGCCUGCAGAGGUCAUCGUCACGCAGCCCGCGGAGGUCACCGUCACGCAGCCCAUGGACAUCACCGGCACGCAGCCCACGGAGUGGAGUUCCUCAUUCAUGAUCUCGUUGACUUGGCUGAGCACGAAAAGUCUGCGAAAAAGCCUGCAACAAUUACCGUCAAUAUCAGAAAGCCAACAUGGGAGGAUUACCAAAAUGUGCCUAAUACAUAUGUGUCGGGCAGGCCUCUACUCACUUGGGAUAAACUCAAAAGGUCACAACUGGUAUAAAAAGGUUACAUGACUGGUACUUGAGAGCUUCUACUGUUAGCAUCGACACGAUCAACGUGUCUAUACCACCAACAACUUUUGUUAGUGGUCGUCAAACAGCCGUUGUUACCUUCGAGGACAUGUGGUUGAUGAUGAACCUUCAGAGACUCGACAUCGGUGUUUGCAUUAAUGCAAUAUGAUCAGCAGGAGAUCUGUUAUGGUCUAGAUCCGUAGUCCAAUACCAGUAAAAGGGUUAGGUAUCUGAACCUAAUAAAAAUAUGUGAGGAUGAGCACACAUUCAAAGUUGGUUUGGAUAAUGAUGAAUUAAAGGGUGUGACACCUCAAGAAGCUCAGCAACAUAUAGAGGAAAUGAGGAAGAACUUUGAAGCCAAAUACGUCAUCUAUCUAGGACACGCAAUGCUUCAGUAUCAACACAGGGAAUCCGCAGUGGCCCCAUACAACUUUGGGUAAGUUUGAGUUUGCAUACAUCAAAUGAAUAAUUUUGAUACACAUGCAUCACAAAAUUUGAUUCAUGGACCACUAGAUCUGCUUCAUCAUUUAUCCUAGGGAUGGAAAGGUGUUGGUCCUAGACUCCGCAUAUUACAAUCCUUCAACUUAUGCAGCAUUCAUGACUAUCUUAGAGCGGUAAGCCGAGAUAUUCAUUCAUACUUUUAUCGAUGAGAUCGAGUAUGAGAACAACAUGGUCAUUCUUUACGAGAUCAUAGGACAUAUAGGUUUUAUAAGAUUAAAGGCGAAAGUUGCGAGUCAUCGAAACUAGGGAAGCCAUUGCAAAUGUUUUAUAAAUGGUCGGUACGUAUGUAAAAUUAUGAAUACAUAUCAUAUCAUACAUGUUGGAACUAAUAACCAUAAUAACCACUUGCCAAUUAUAUAUAGUGCCACAAGCAACCAGCCGGAUCGAUCAUAUGUGGAAUUUACGUGUGCGAGUUCACGAGAGAACAGAACAUAUAUUAGUAACCCAUCUAAGGUAAUAUAUAGUAAUUAUUAUUUAUGCAGUUCUGUCAUUGAAUUUACAAAUAUAUUACUUAUUGUAAUAAAUAUAUGGUGUUUAUAAUCUUCCUUUCUAGAAAUAUGAUGUAAAAAAGGUGAAGCAGAUGACCCAAGGUGCUUUAUACAACAUAGUUGAGGACCUAUAUAUAUUCAUCUUGAAAGAAGUCAUUCUAUAUGAAGGAAAAUAUCAUGAUGCCACCGGCAUCUUAGCAUGGCUAGACUACAGAGUGCUAACGGAGAUUAGUAGGCUAAACCUUAGUCAAGAUGAUUAUUAGAGCAGAUGUGCAAACUUUGAUGUAUGUAAUAUGUGAUAUAUAUACAUUUAACAUUAUCUUUGCGAGCACAAACUUUGAUGUAUAUAAAUGUAUGAUAUAAUUAAAUUGUAUGUUCUUAUA